GUUUCUGGGAGGUGAGGUCAAUCGGAUCAGCCACUGAGGGGAAAAGCAUGAAAUUAUCCCAGGCAGUGAGCAGAGGCCGGGCAGAUUCUAUCUGGUGCAGGCAACUGAUAUCACCGGCCACGGCGUUUGCCCAGGAACAGAGAACACUGCCAAGGCAGGCGUCACAAACACCUCUCUUUUCACAUGACAAUCUCCCUGGUUUCCAUGUUAUCCUCCAGAGCCCAAAGAGAGCACUGGCACCAGCAGAAAUGCCCGGCCAAGGCUGGAAGGCAAAUCCAGCCCCUGCACACUGGGGCAGCCCAGGGGGGUCUGGGCACAGCCCGCAGUGUCCUCGUGCCCUCUGCCAGCACUGGGUACCUCCCUGCCCUUCCCACCUCUGCAUCAGUGCAGGGAGUUACCAUCCAGCUCAGAACUCACAGACCAUGAUUUAUCUCAAGGGGGUUUGUGGAUAAGCCCCUAGUGCAGAUCAAACCCCACCUCUGGCUGCAGUCACCUGCUGCCAGGCUGGCAGGGCUGGAGGAUGGAGGGGUGGCAGGUGGGUGUGUGCAACAGCCAAACACAGCCCUGAUGCUUUAGGGAGCCCAAAACUGGAUGUCAGUUAUUUCCUCAGUUACCUUCAAUGUUUCAAGUCGAAGCCCUUGCACAUUUUUCUUCCUAAAAAGUCAUAAGUAAUGACUUAACAAAUCAGUCAUUACUUAUAUCUCAUUGCCUGUUUUCCCAGGAAGAGUCUCCAUGAUCUCCCUUUUUGGCAAGUGUGUGGCAGAAACCAGGGAUUAUCCUGACCCUGGCUCAGCCUCCCCCACCACCCUGCCCCAGGAUCCUGUAGUUGAAAAGGGAAUAUAGGGGUUUGGAUGGACAAAAACAUAUUGGUGGCCAUGAAGCAUCAUGAGCUUGUUCUGGGUUAAAUGAACCGUUUUG
Onychostruthus taczanowskii (white-rumped snowfinch) is the source of this 918-nucleotide long non-coding RNA. RefSeq lists it as uncharacterized. Lineage: Eukaryota; Metazoa; Chordata; Aves; Passeriformes; Passeridae. The transcript has 3 exons. The record is from RefSeq and is a predicted model, not a curated record.